This 429-nucleotide ribosomal RNA is filed under the name Verrucomicrobiota bacterium. Its description in RNAcentral is "Verrucomicrobia bacterium partial 16S ribosomal RNA". It matches the Rfam family "Bacterial small subunit ribosomal RNA", at positions 355 to 776 of the family's 1533-position model. Lineage: Bacteria; Pseudomonadati; Verrucomicrobiota. The record is from RNAcentral.
UAGGGAAUCUUCCGCAAUGGACGAAAGUCUGACGGAGCAACGCCGCGUGAGUGAAGAAGGAUUUCGGUUCGUAAAACUCUGUUGUUAGGGAAGAAAAAAUGUAUAGUAACUAUAUACAAAAGAGACGGUACCUAACCAGAAAGCCACGGCUAACUACGUGCCAGCAGCCGCGGUAAUACGUAGGUGGCAAGCGUUGUCCGGAAUUAUUGGGCGUAAAGCGCGCGCAGGUGGUUUAGAAAGUCUGAUGUGAAAGCCCACGGCUCAACCGUGGAGGGUCAUUUGAAACUAAUAAACUGGAGUGCAGGAGAGAAAAGUGGAAUUCCUAGUGUAGCGGUGAAAUGCGUAGAGAUUAGGAGGAACACCGGUGGCGAAAGCGGCUUUUUGGCCUGCAACUGACACUGAGGCGCGAAAGCGUGGGGAGCAAACAGG